RNAcentral lists this long non-coding RNA (749 nucleotides) under Aotus nancymaae (Ma's night monkey). Its description in RNAcentral is "lncRNA (ENSANAG00000039274.1)". The record is from RNAcentral. Lineage: Eukaryota; Metazoa; Chordata; Mammalia; Primates; Aotidae.
GGAGGGAGACCACCAUCUUCUGGCGAUAUGGAAGUAGAGAAAGGCAAACAGGAGGGGAGCAAGUGAGGAAAAGAAGAGGAUGUGAAAAGCCCGAAGAAAGGCAGGAGAGCAAGAAGAUGUUUAUUGUGCUGGGUGUUCUUGGAGGCACUGAGGAUUCAGCAGUGAACGAAACAGACCUGAUCCCUGUCCGAAAGUCUCUGAAGGAGGGUGAAGAAUCAGCACGGGUAAUCGCAAGGUCAAUCUGGAAGCCUUCUGUCCACUUAACAGCAACACCGGCAGCACGGGUAAUUAGAGUUACAAGUGGGUAUAUCAUCAAGUAUUUUAUCAGCAUUGAAUCAUCUGAGUUUGACUUUUCAUUGUGACUGUUGAAAUUAGUUUGUUUUGCUCAUAAUAAUUUAUUUACUGUCAUUAUUUUUUAUAACAGGGUAUUGGACAGAAUUUCUUGUUCUUAAUGACUUUUCAAUAGGACUACAAGGUGGGAAAGAGCUAUCUUUGCCACCUUUAAUGAUUGAGCAUUUAUGUUUUAUUCCUGUGUGUGAAAUCUCAGAGAGAGCAAACAAAUAUAUUUAAUGCAAUAGCAUUUCUCAGAUCCUAGGAAAGCUAUUUUUUAAAAAGAACUUAGAGCCAGAAGGAUAAUCCAAUAACCAGGUAUUUAAUAAAGCACAAAAUAAAUGUGUUAGUCUAGAGCCAGGCUGUCUGAGUUUGAAUUCUGGCCCCUUAUUUAGCCCUGAGACUUUGUUCUAACUAUC